Molecule: long non-coding RNA, 239 nt
Organism: Centruroides sculpturatus (bark scorpion)
Lineage: Eukaryota; Metazoa; Arthropoda; Arachnida; Scorpiones; Buthidae
Exons: 3
Source: RefSeq, a predicted model, not a curated record
GAAAUAUUCAAAAAUUAUAAAAAUUAGAAGAAAUUAUUAUUAUUUUUCCCUAAAAUUAAUUCAUUUUACUUUGUAUAAAUUUUAUAUUUUUAAUCAUUUUAUAAAAUUAGAAUAAGUAUGCAACCACAAAGUCCUCAAUAUCAUCAUAAUCUUCAGGGAACACCGCCACCUUAUCCACAAAAGGAACAGUUUAUUUACUACCCGUCUACACCUGCAUCUCCAGGCUUGUUUUAUCCUAC